Gorilla gorilla gorilla (western lowland gorilla) is the source of this 104-nucleotide small nuclear RNA. The record is from Ensembl. Lineage: Eukaryota; Metazoa; Chordata; Mammalia; Primates; Hominidae.
GUACUUGCUUUGGCAGCACAUACCCUAAAACUGGAAUGAUACAGUGAUUAGCAUGGCUCUUGUGCAAGGAUGACACACAAAUUUGUGAAGUGUUCCAUAUUUAA